UACAGAGGGUGCGAGCGUUGUCCGGAAUCACUGGGCGUAAAGGGCGCGUUGGUGGUGGCUUAAGCGUGCGGUGAAAGCUCGGGGCUCAACUCCGAGUCGGCCGUGCGAACUGGGCUCACUGGAGCAUAGUAGAGGCAGGUGGAAUUCCUGGUGUAGCGGUGAAAUGCGCAGAUAUCAGGAGGAACACCAAUGGCGAAGGCAGCACUCUGGGACGUGACUGACGCUGAGACGCGAAAGCGUGGGGAGCAAACAGG
RNAcentral lists this ribosomal RNA (254 nucleotides) under uncultured bacterium. RNAcentral describes it as "partial 16S ribosomal RNA". It matches the Rfam family "Bacterial small subunit ribosomal RNA", at positions 524 to 776 of the family's 1533-position model. The record is from RNAcentral.